GCCUACUUAGCUCAGUUGGUAGAGCAUCGGUUUUGUACUCCGAAGGUCAUCCGUUCGAACCGGAUAGUAGGCUCAA
This 76-nucleotide transfer RNA is filed under the name Odoribacter splanchnicus. RNAcentral's name for it is "tRNA-Thr". It matches the Rfam family "tRNA". From Rfam's summary of the family: Transfer RNA (tRNA) molecules are approximately 80 nucleotides in length. Their secondary structure includes four short double-helical elements and three loops (D, anti-codon, and T loops). Lineage: Bacteria; Pseudomonadati; Bacteroidota; Bacteroidia; Bacteroidales; Odoribacteraceae. The record is from RNAcentral.